This 535-nucleotide ribosomal RNA is filed under the name Streptomyces jumonjinensis. Its description in RNAcentral is "bacterial SSU rRNA". It matches the Rfam family "Bacterial small subunit ribosomal RNA", at positions 334 to 873 of the family's 1533-position model. The record is from RNAcentral. Lineage: Bacteria; Bacillati; Actinomycetota; Actinomycetes; Kitasatosporales; Streptomycetaceae.
UUCCCCUACGGAGGCAGCAGUGGGGAAUAUUGCACAAUGGGCGAAAGCCUGAUGCAGCGACGCCGCGUGAGGGAUGACGGCCUUCGGGUUGUAAACCUCUUUCAGCAGGGAAGAAGCGAAAGUGACGGUACCUGCAGAAGAAGCGCCGGCUAACUACGUGCCAGCAGCCGCGGUAAUACGUAGGGCGCAAGCGUUGUCCGGAAUUAUUGGGCGUAAAGAGCUCGUAGGCGGCUUGUCACGUCGGAUGUGAAAGCCCGGGGCUUAACCCCGGGUCUGCAUUCGAUACGGGCAGGCUAGAGUGUGGUAGGGGAGAUCGGAAUUCCUGGUGUAGCGGUGAAAUGCGCAGAUAUCAGGAGGAACACCGGUGGCGAAGGCGGAUCUCUGGGCCAUUACUGACGCUGAGGAGCGAAAGCGUGGGGAGCGAACAGGAUUAGAUACCCUGGUAGUCCACGCCGUAAACGUUGGGAACUAGGUGUUGGCGACAUUCCACGUCGUCGGUGCCGCAGCUAACGCAUUAAGUUCCCCGCUGGGAGUA